GGCAGGCCGAAGGACAGCCACUUGCUGGCCGGUGACCUUGGGCGGGAUACUGCCUGCUUCCCUCUGAGGACACUAAGGCCCAGAGAGGGCUGGUGACCUGCCUGAGGUCACACAGCAAGUUGGAGGCUGAGCCAAGAUGCACCACAAAGUCUCUGGACUCCAGGUCCAGGCCUCCGUGCCUUCCCAGGACCUGGCUGCUCGGGGGCUCACUCUGGGGAGCCGGAGAGACCUACGGCUGGGGAGGACAGUUGGGGGUUGUGCUGUUUGAAGUCACAACUUAAUGUUGACUAAAGUGCAUUUUUUCAAGACAAAAAGAAAAUUCCAGACCCCUGCCAUAAGCCUGGACUUGCUCUGCUGGCAGGGGAAGGAAUGCGGCUCUGGCCACCACAGCUGCUGGUGGCCAGCUGCAGUCUCAGCGCCUGCUGCUCCCGCCCAAGCCGGCAAAGGGACAAAGGCCUCUUCUCAGGCCCGUCCCCUCCAGCCCCUUGGAUUAGCUGGCAGAGCAUUGACCGAGAGCCUCAUCUGCUGCAGACCUGCUAAGUCAUUGUUCCUCUCUGGGCCUUAGUGCCCUUUCUGUAAAAUGGGGGCAGAGUAACUGCUGACCUGCUUCUCAGAGCUGUUUGGAAGCUCCAAGGAGGGAAAGUUACAGAACUACAGACCUCUCAGCACCUCCUUCCACCUGAGGGUCUGCUACUCACUGUCCCCCUGCCUCAAAUUCCCCUCCCUCCCUCAUGCUCUACCUGGCUGCCCCAGCUCACUCAGCUGAGCUCGGCUGGGCCAUCUCUCGCCCUGGGAAAGCUUCCCUCACAUCCAGACUCUAGAGCUUCUUCAGGGGAUUUAUCACUGUUGUAAAUAAUGAAAAAAUUAAUUGUGUAGUCGGA
This is a long non-coding RNA of Lemur catta (Ring-tailed lemur), 881 nucleotides long. RefSeq lists it as uncharacterized. The record is from RefSeq and is a predicted model, not a curated record. Lineage: Eukaryota; Metazoa; Chordata; Mammalia; Primates; Lemuridae. The transcript is spliced from 2 exons.